UAANCGAUGGAUACUAGNUGUUCGGGAGCAAUCUCGGUGGCUAAGCGAAAGUGAUAAGUAUCCCCACCUGGGGAGUACGAACGCAANUUUGAAACCUCAAAGGAAUUGACCGGGGGCCCGCACAAGCGGUGGAGCAUGUGGUUUAAUUCGAUGAUACGCGAGGAACCUUACCAAGGCUUAAAUGGGAAACGACAGUUGUGGAAACAUGACCUUCUUCGGACGUUUUUCAAGGUGCUGCAUGGUUGUCGUCAGCUCGUGCCGUGAGGUGUCAGGUUAAGUCCUAUAACGAGCGCAACCCCUGUUGUUAGUUGCCAGCGAGUAAGGUCGGGAACUCUAACAAGACUGCCAGUGCAAACUGUGAGGAAGGUGGGGAUGACGUCAAAUCAUCACGGCCCUUACGCCUUGGGCUACACACGUGCUACAAUGGACGGUACCAGAGAGCAGCCACUGGGUGACCAGGAGCGAAUCUACAAAACCGUUCUCAGUUCGGAUCGGAGUCUGCAACUCGGCUCCGUGAAGCUGGAAUCGCUAGUAAUCGGAUAUCAGCCAUGAUCCGGUGAAUACGUUCCCGGGCCUUGUACACACCGCCCGUCAAGCCAUGGAAGCUGGGGGUGCCUGAAGUCGGUGACCGCAAGGAGCUGCCUAGGGUAAAACUGGUAACUAGGGCUAAGUCGUAANCAAGGUACC
Molecule: ribosomal RNA, 687 nt
Filed under: uncultured bacterium
Lineage: Bacteria
Description: bacterial SSU rRNA
Rfam family: Bacterial small subunit ribosomal RNA
Source: RNAcentral